This 85-nucleotide transfer RNA is filed under the name Malassezia furfur. RNAcentral's name for it is "tRNA-iMet". Lineage: Eukaryota; Fungi; Basidiomycota; Malasseziomycetes; Malasseziales; Malasseziaceae. The record is from RNAcentral.
AGCUCGGUGGUGCAGUGGAUAGCAUGUGGGGCUCAUAUUGAUAUGCGGCACCCCAAGGUCGACGGAUCGAAACCGUCCUGAGCUA